AAAUUGAAGAGUUUGAUCAUGGCUCAGAUUGAACGCUGGCGGCAGGCCUAACACAUGCAAGUCGAGCGGCAGCGGGAAAGUAGCUUGCUACUUUUGCCGGCGAGCGGCGGACGGGGACGGGUGAGUAAUGCCUGGGGAUCUGCCCAGUCGAGGGGGAUAACUACUGGAAACGGUAGCUAAUACCGCAUACGCCCUACGGGGGAAAGCAGGGGACCUUCGGGCCUUGCGCGAUUGGAUGAACCCAGGUGGGAUUAGCU
This 257-nucleotide ribosomal RNA is filed under the name Aeromonas hydrophila. RNAcentral's name for it is "partial 16S ribosomal RNA". It matches the Rfam family "Bacterial small subunit ribosomal RNA", at positions 1 to 246 of the family's 1533-position model. Lineage: Bacteria; Pseudomonadati; Pseudomonadota; Gammaproteobacteria; Aeromonadales; Aeromonadaceae. The record is from RNAcentral.